GGGAGUGGGAGGAAGCUGGGGAGAAGAUGAGUUGAGAGCAGUCCAGUGUGAGGGAAAGUGGGGAUCCUGGGCCAACUUACCAUUAAGAGGGUCCAGUCCUGUGACUGCUGUGAAGUAACCAGGAUUCCACAUAGAGAUGGGGCUCAAAGUCAGCCCAGGAGCAGCACUGUGGUCCCAGAACUAAUAUUUGGCGACUCCAAGGCCAGGGAUAAAAAUGAAGAGAUGGAGAGACAAGAUUUCCUGGCCUCUAAUUGGCAGCACCCGUUGACUCUGCUCGUGACCAGACUCAUGAACGCUUCAUCCAAGGUUUCAUGUCAUCCGUGUGAGGAACCUCUCUGAUUUGAGAAAAUCUUUCUUAAAAUGGGCUUCUAGUUGUAAAGCCAUUGUCUUUUUAGGAAAUCAUCAAAUACCUUAAAGCUAGACACGCAAUCAGCUGCAUAAAUGACACACUCACUAAAUCAAUCCUUUAUCAGGUGAUCCUGAUGCUCAUGGCCAUGCAUUGAGAACAACUGUGUAAGAAGAUAUGGAUAAUGCUUGAAAACUACUAGUAUUAGCACCAUUUUGCAUAUACUCCAAGGAAGAUCUCAAUAAAUGCUUAAUGGAAAUAAGUAAAGGUAUGAAUGCUGGACCUAAUACAGGAGGAAGACCCAGGUGAUUUGUGUACAAUUUGGACACAAGCUCUUGCCAACCACCUGAGAGAUUCCAACAAUGAGAUGAGAUUCCUUACCUUGAACCAGAUAAUUUGGAAUGAAUGUCUAGGCAGAACUUCUGCUUCAGAAUGACCACAAUUAACUACCAGACAACCAACUUUGGGGACAUAUCAGUAGGUUGAUCCUGGUUUGGGAAGCUUCCAGCUUGGAAUGAUUACAAUAGAAAGAAGCUGUUCUCCUGAUUCUUCCUGAUGCUGACACACCUUCUCUUUUUAAAAACAAUAGCAUGGCACCUUUGAUUACUGUUAUAAAGUCCAGAGGUCUUCAGACUGGGGCACACCCACCCAGGGGGGUAUAUAAAGACUUUGUAAGGGGCACUUGGGCAUCGAAGUGUUGGGUUAUGUGUCCUCAACUUUCCUAUCGUCGAGUUCCUAAAACAGACUUGCAUAAGAACCUCUGGGCUGGGAGUUAUUUACCCUCUCCUACAUCUCUUCCUUUCUAUCAUCCUUUUGCUACUCUACAAAGGAAAGGCACCACCCUCCCCCAUCCCAAAUCUUACUAAAGUAUAUUGCCUGGGUGUAGAAACCUUUAUGAUAGCA
Molecule: long non-coding RNA, 1249 nt
Filed under: Homo sapiens (human)
Lineage: Eukaryota; Metazoa; Chordata; Mammalia; Primates; Hominidae
Description: HSALNT0339766
Source: RNAcentral